Molecule: long non-coding RNA, 6401 nt
Organism: Gorilla gorilla gorilla (western lowland gorilla)
Lineage: Eukaryota; Metazoa; Chordata; Mammalia; Primates; Hominidae
Exons: 3
Source: RefSeq, a predicted model, not a curated record
GGCGGAGGCCAAGAGGGGGCUUGAGGCCGCGGCGGGGACGCCGGGGGUUAGAGGACCCAGAGGUGGUGGCGGGGCUGCGGCUGGGCGGAGGUGGGGGCAGUGAGAGCCGCGUUCAACCGCGCCCCCGCUCAGCCGCCGCGGCCCUCAGCGCAUCGUCCUGAGCCCAGGACCUUGGCAGUUGGUAGGCCUCCUGCCCCUCUGGUCUUGAGCCUUCGGCUUUCCAACUGUGAGGUCUCGGUUUUGUUCGGAUUUGUUUUUUAAUAGAGACGGGGUCUCGCUGUGUUGCCCAGGUGGUCUCAAAGUCCUGGGCUCAAGCCUCUCCCGCCUCGGCCUCCCAAAGUGCUGGGAUUACAGGUGUGAGCCACCGAGCCUGGCCUGUUGGAUUUUUAAGUAUUAUAUGAUUCUUCAUCCUUUAUUCACUUGGGGCAUAACACUCAGCUGUGAGUACAUUCAUUCAGAUGUUUAUUGAGCGUCUACUAUGCGCCAGGCACUUAGCGUGGGAUAUAGCAAUGAACAAACAGGCCAAGCCCCGCCCUCUGAGCUUACGUUCUAGAGGGGGGACAAACGAAUGUACAAAUGAAUACAUGAUGUAGAAGACAACAGUUUAAAUGCAGGGACAGUUAAGCAAAAUUUAAAUUACCCUCUCCCUAUUCCCCCAGAAUGUUGUAGCCCAUCCCCUUCUAGUUAGACUCGUCUUCGCCUUGCUCCUGUGGCCGGCAGGCACAGCCUGUUAUUCAGGGCUGGGAGUGUAACCAGGCAACUCCUAAGUGUGAAGAGUGCCCCUUUUCGCUCGCAGAAGUGGUAGGCUUUGAAGAAUACAUGUCGUGGUCACCCUUCUAGCUCACAGCCCUCCCAGAGGCUGUGGAGGUUCCUGGGUCUGCAGCUGUACUGGAACGGUGGCUAUUCUUUCAUUCAGAAGGGAUUGCUCUGGCACUGCAGGCACAGGGCUAGACUGGCACCGUGCCUAUUCCCCUGGAGCUUAGAAUUUGGUAGGGAGGCAGAAUCUAACAAUCACACUGGUAAAGAUACAAACUAUAAUACAGGGCUAUGAAAAGAACUAUAUGCUGCUGAGAGCAGGCAUUGUGGGAUGGUGAGCAAGGCAAGAGGGUCACUUAUGUUCCCUGAACAAGUCUUGAAGAGAUGGGUAAAGAAUGGAGAAGAGUAAUUAGUGCAGUGGAACAGCACGUGCAAAGGCUUUGAGGCAAUAUAGUAAACGAGGCAAAACAGGAGCAUGAGGCUGGAGAAGAGUUGGAAAAUGAGGCUAGAGAGCAGGCUGGGUUCAUAAUACAAAAGCUUAGAAUGCUUACUAUGUGUCAGUUGGCUAGGGCUGCCAUGACAAAGCACCACAGAUUUGGUGGCCCGAAACAACAGAAAUUUAUUCUCUUGUAGUUCAGAGGCCAGAAGUCUGAAAUCCAGGUGUCCGCAGGGCCAUCGUCUAUCUGAAGGCACUCUAGGGGAAUCCUCUGUUUCUUCCAGUCUCUGGUGGCCCCACACAUGUUUUGGCUGUGGAUACAUAGAUCCAGUCUCCACUUCUGUCUUCACAUGGCCUCCUCUCUUUCUCUCUCUCUUUCUCUGUCUCUCUCUCUUUUUAUUUUAGAUGGAGUCUAUGUUGCCUAGGCUGAUUUCAAACUCUUAGGCUCAAGUGAUCCUCCUGCCUUGGCCUCCCAAAGUUGAGAUUACAGGUGUGAGCCACUGUAUUAGUCCGUUUUCACACCGCUGAUAAAGACAUACCCAAGACUGGGGAGGCCUCACAAUCAUGGUGCAGGGCAAAAGGCACAUCUUACAUGGUGGCAGACAGAGAAUGAGAGCCAAGCGAAAGGGGUUUCCCCUUAUAAAACCAUCAGAUCUCGUGAGACUUAUUCACUACCAGGAGAACAGUAUGGGGAACUGCCCCCAUGAUUCAGUUAUCUCCCUCUAGGUCCCUCCCACAACACGUGGGAAUUAUGGGAGCUAACAAUUCAAGAUGAAAUUUGGGUGGGGACAGAGCCAAAUGAUAUCAGCCAUCUAUCCUAUCCUGUUCUAUCUCUUAUAAGGACAUUUGUCAUUGGCUUUAGGGUCCACUUGGUUAAUUCAGAAUGAUCUCAUCUUGAAAUCCUCACUUAUAUCUGCAAAGAUUCUUUUUCCAGAUAAGGAUACAUACCUGGAGAUAGGACUUGGACAUGUAUUUUUGGGGGCCGCCAUUCAAACCACUAUAUUGACUUUGCAAAUAAAAGAAACUUGACCAAAGAAAAGAAACUUGACCUGGUGGGUAGUCACAAUUACUCAUCCCUGACAUACUGUUAAGUGGAGAAAAAUCAAUUCAUGAGACAUGUAAACGAUUAACCUAUUUAGUUAAAAAUAUAUUGGCCAGGCGUGGUGACUCAUGCCUGUAUCCUGGUGCUGUGGGAGGCCAAGGUGGGAAGAUUGCUCCAAGCUAGAAGUUCGUGACCAGCUGGGCAACGUAAGAGAAUCUCCCCAUCUCUACAGAAAAUUAAAAAAAAAAAAAAUUAGCCAACCAUGGUGGCACAUGCUUGUAGUCCUAGCUGUUCAGGUGGCUGAGGCAGGAGGAUUGCUUGAGCCCAGGAGUUGGAGGCUGCAGUGAACUAUGUUUGUGCCAGUGUACUGCAUUCCAGCAUGAGUGACAGAGCAAGACCCUGUCUGUAAAUAAAUAAAUAAAUUUAUCUGUAUGUUCAUGUAUAAAUAGAAUUUUUCUAUUCUAUUUUUACCUAUUCAGGUAUAGGUAUUAUACUCUGAUACUUGCUUUCUUCUUAUCUUUUAGUAUUGUCAGAUUUUUUUAAUGCUUUUUAUAAAUAUAGAAAAAAACCACAAAGCUCUUUACAGUUUGAAAAAAGCUUUUGUAGGAGUAUCCAAAAAUACUUAGCGUGCAUGUAUGGAUAGGGGGUGUUUUUUCUGUUCCUUUUGAUGGAAGUACCUGAGGAAAGGGUCUUCAACUGUGUAAGGAGUUUCUCUUAGCAACUUGAACUUAAAAGGUAGCUGGAAUUGAUAUAAAAUAAGUUGUGGAGCCAUAAUUAUUUAUAUUACAUAAAAACGUAUGUUCUUUUUUCCAGAUAUGAUUUGAGGCAGCUAGUGUAAAGUGUAAGAAAGCUGUUUUCUGGUUGGAAGGCCUAAGGAGAGAACAUCGUCGGGCACGGCCAACUAAGGAAUGUUACAGUCAGCUUGGCCAGUGUCUUGCCCUGGUCCUUAAACCAGUUGAGAUGAGUAACUGAUGAAGCUGUAUUUUGUCUUCCCUUUGGCAGAUUAGGGUACUUGAAGAGAACACCUUGAGGAUUGUAACCCUGUGACCAUCUAUACCUGCCAUCCAUUCCUGCUAGCAUCUUUGAAAUAUGUAGCAACAAAUUGAUCAGGAAGUUUGAGAAGUGAAUCCUUAGUAAAGGAAUAGUGAUGGAGAACAGAGCAGCUAAUCUCACUGCCAAGAGAAGGGAAGCCAAAGGGAGCCUCAGGUCAUCAGGUACCAGGACAUUCAGGGCUUUAAAGUCACUGCCUUCACUUUGUGGGCCAUUUGAAGAAAUCCAUACAGAACUUGAAAACGAGUUGUAAUAGAAUCUUGCCCAGCAGAAGCAAGGGUCUGUCAGGUAUUUUUGCUCAUUCCCUUUUUGUUUUUCAGGGUUGUUUCCUCAGCUUACAUUUUUCCCUUUCAACUCACUCACUCCCUGGAUGGUUUAAUUCCCCUCCGGGUAUACCAUUACUCAUACUAGCUAUGUAGAAAUGCACUUUCCUUGGUGCUCUGCUGGUCUCCUGGACAACUGCAUCUACCUCCUCUCCACGUGUCUAAUGCACAUCCAUCAAUUUGCCCCUCACUCUCUUAUUUCCUCUAUUUUGUUUCAUGGCUUUACCAUUCACUCAGCUGUUAACCCGAGAAACUUCAGUUCUCUUUCCCCCUUUCUCUGGAGCACCUUCUUCACCUAAACAGACAUUCAGUGAGGCAUUAAGUCUGGCCAUUUCUGCCCAUGGAAUGUUUCUGGAAUCCUUGGACUUUGCAAGAGCCUUUUAUUUAUUUUUAAAUUUUUAAAUUAUUUUUUAAAGACAGAGUCUCACUCUGUCACCCAGGCUGGAGUGCAGUGACACAAUCUUGGCUCACUGCAACCUCCACCUCCCAGGUUCAAGUGAUUCUCCUGCCUUAGCCUCCUGAGUAGCUGGGAUUACAGGCGCCCGCCCCAACACCCAGCUAAUUGUGUUUUUAGUAGAGAUGAGGUUUCACCAUGUUGGGCAGGCUGGUCUCAAACUCCUGACCUCAAGUGAUUCGCCCAUCUCGGCCUCCCAAAGUGCUGGGAUUACAAGCGUGAGCCACCACGCCCGGCCUGCAAAAGCUUUUAACUUAUCUCAGACCUAAGGCUGUUUCCAAUUCAUCUUCCAAAUAGUCAUCAAUUAUUCUUGUAGAACAGAUUUCUGAUCUUGUCUCUCUCCUGCUUAAUAACAUCCAAUAGUUUAGCCAUUGUCUAAGUUUUAUUUUACUUUGAGACAAAAGUCUCACUCUGUUGCCCAGACUGGAGUGCAGUGGUGCAAUCAUGCUCACUGUAGCUUUGACCUCCCGGGCUCAAGCGAUCCUCAAACCUCAGCCUCCAGAGGAGCUGGGACCACAAGUGUGUGCCACCAUGCUUGGCUUAUUUACUUUAUUAUUUUAUUUUAUUUUAUUUUAUUUUAUUUUAUUUUAUUUUUUGUAGAGUCAGGGUCUCCCUAUAUUGUCCUGGCUGGUUUUGAACCCCUGGGCUCAAGCUAUCCUCCCACCUCGGCCUCUUAAAGUGCUGGGAUUACAGGCAUGAGCCACCAAAACCAGCUAAAGUUGUAAUUCCUUAGCAAUGUGUUGUACACUUCCUCCAUGUCCUUUCAUCCCCAGUCAAAUUCACCUUUCUGCUCACCUGCUCUCUUAGUUGUCUGCUUUCUGCCAUAUGACAACCAGCUCUUCCAACACCUUAGCCCAGAUUGAUUUUACAUGUGCUAUCUAGUGCGUGUUACGUGUUUGUUUCAGCUAGAGAGGUUUCUGGAGUUAACCAAGUUUGCAUGUGUGUCUGGGGAUGCUUAGGAGAAUGUUGUAAAUGACCAGUAUACCAGAGUGACACUGUGAUUUGCUUCUUCUCCAUGCUGGGAGCAGCAGUCCCCAAAUCGUGCAGUGGCCAGCAUUUUGUUCAGGAGAAAAUUGCUGUAGUUCCAAGUAUUGUUAAACUGAAAUGAUAUAGGCUGGAUUCACAUGCACUUUUGGAAAUAUCAUAUAUUUUGAAGGUAUUAUAAGUUUGAUUUUUUUGAUGAAAUAUCUGCACUCUCUCCUUGGAUUAAAUCAUUUUUGCACUUUUUAUUCCUUUCCCCCACAAUUAUUAUUAUUUUUUUGAGACGGAGUCUCGCUUUGUCACCCAGGCUGGAGUGCAGUGACGCGAUCUCGGCUCACUGCAAGCUCCACCUCCCGGGUUCACGCCAUUCUCCUGCCUGAGCCUCCCGAAUAGCUGGGACUACAGGUGCGUGCCACCACGCCCGGCUAAUUUUUUGUAUUUUUUAGUAGAGACGGGGUUUCACCAUGUUAUCCAGGAUGGUCUCCAUCUCCUGACCUCGUGAACCACCCACCUCGGCCUCCCAGAGUGCUGGGAUUACAGGCGUGUGCCACCGCACCCGGCCCCCCACAAUUAUUUUUGUUUGUUUGCUUUUCAUUCCUGAAAUCCUGCACUGAAGCUCUCUGGUACUUCUAUUUACUUUUUCUCUACCUUUAAUUUUCUUCAUUUUAUUUUUCAUUCCAUUCCUUUUUCUGUUUUCAAAAACUUUUUUUUCUCAUUUAGCUCAUGCUUUGCCAUGAGCUCAUGCUUUGCUAUGUUGGGGAUUUUAUUUUAUUAUUUCUAUCUUAAUUCAAAGAAUAUAAACCAUACAAAAGCCUGCUGCCUUGUCAAAAGGAGUUCUGAAUCUGAAGCCCAAAAUAAUACCCAGUAUAGUUGUACAAUUUGGCUGUAUUUUAGUUGCUUUUCCAGGGUAAAGGAAAUUUUUGAUCUACUCUUUCCACCAAAGCACUCAUUUGUCAUGAAUGUCCUGUUCUCAAAGUUAUUGAGUCAGUUGUGAUGACAGCUGGUUUUCUAAGCAGCCAGGAAAGAAGAGGAAUCUUUAUAUAUUUUUUCCCCUUUUUUCUCAUCAGGAGCCAAGAAAGAACAUUUAUAUACUUUAAAACCAGUCCUCAAGAGAGAACUAUCUGCACUCCUCUCACCCCCCCCAAAAAGGUUAUACAUCUUAAUACUAAAUUCUGGAUAUUGUGUUGUUUCCUCAGAUCCAGCACCAGCUAAAGGAAGGGAGCUUGUAUACUUUUUUUUUUGUUUCUAAUAAAAACAUACAGGUUCCUUACCAGUAGCACAUAGAUAGGGUAGACAGUUGUAUGAAUAUUAUGGGUACCAAUGAAAGUAAUAGUAAGAAUUUAUGAGCUGACCAGAUUC